This is a long non-coding RNA of Mustela erminea (ermine), 145 nucleotides long. RefSeq lists it as uncharacterized. The record is from RefSeq and is a predicted model, not a curated record. The transcript is spliced from 3 exons. NCBI's taxonomy places the organism in Eukaryota, Metazoa, Chordata, Mammalia, Carnivora, Mustelidae.
GAGAUGGGAUUGAGGAGUGAGCUCUCAGCUAGGGGUAACCUUAAACUGUGAUUUGUGGCACAGUCGGACCACUGCUCUUAGAGCAGAGACCCCACAAGUAGCAGAUCUGGCGAGACUCCACUUCCUUUUCUGGAGGCAGGAAUCU